CAACAUCAGAAAAGUAAGCG
RNAcentral lists this non-coding RNA (20 nucleotides) under Arabidopsis thaliana (thale cress). The record is from RNAcentral. Lineage: Eukaryota; Viridiplantae; Streptophyta; Magnoliopsida; Brassicales; Brassicaceae.